RNAcentral lists this ribosomal RNA (591 nucleotides) under Aspergillus niger. RNAcentral describes it as "partial 18S rRNA". The stretch from base 207 to 360 matches the Rfam family "5.8S ribosomal RNA". The record is from RNAcentral. Lineage: Eukaryota; Fungi; Ascomycota; Eurotiomycetes; Eurotiales; Aspergillaceae.
AACCUGCGGAAGGAUCAUUACCGAGUGCGGGUCCUUUGGGCCCAACCUCCCAUCCGUGUCUAUUGUACCCUGUUGCUUCGGCGGGCCCGCCGCUUGUCGGCCGCCGGGGGGGCGCCUCUGCCCCCCGGGCCCGUGCCCGCCGGAGACCCCAACACGAACACUGUCUGAAAGCGUGCAGUCUGAGUUGAUUGAAUGCAAUCAGUUAAAACUUUCAACAAUGGAUCUCUUGGUUCCGGCAUCGAUGAAGAACGCAGCGAAAUGCGAUAACUAAUGUGAAUUGCAGAAUUCAGUGAAUCAUCGAGUCUUUGAACGCACAUUGCGCCCCCUGGUAUUCCGGGGGGCAUGCCUGUCCGAGCGUCAUUGCUGCCCUCAAGCCCGGCUUGUGUGUUGGGUCGCCGUCCCCCUCUCCGGGGGGACGGGCCCGAAAGGCAGCGGCGGCACCGCGUCCGAUCCUCGAGCGUAUGGGGCUUUGUCACAUGCUCUGUAGGAUUGGCCGGCGCCUGCCGACGUUUUCCAACCAUUCUUUCCAGGUUGACCUCGGAUCAGGUAGGGAUACCCGCUGAACUUAAGCAUAUCAAUAAGCGGAGGAAA